AAGCGCUUGCAACCAGACUUGAGUGCGACGGUUCCCCCUUCCUUUUGGUUGGGCUAUUCCGUCGUAUCCAGGCCAACAUCGGUUUUGGUGGUCGGUUAAAGGCUCCGGGAAUGUACCUACCCUUCGGGCGUAGACUUAUAGCCCGGGGUGUCAUGCGGCCUACCGAGACCGAGGAACGCGCUUCGGCUCGGAUGUUGGCGUAAUGGUUGUAAGCGA
RNAcentral lists this ribosomal RNA (216 nucleotides) under Anisomeridium sp. RNAcentral's name for it is "partial large subunit ribosomal RNA". Lineage: Eukaryota; Fungi; Ascomycota; Dothideomycetes; Monoblastiales; Monoblastiaceae. The record is from RNAcentral.